GGCCACGUAUCUCAAUUGGUUAGAGAAGCUCGCUCAUAACGAGAAGGUUGCAGGUUCGAGUCCUGUCGUGGCCA
Molecule: transfer RNA, 74 nt
Filed under: Spirochaetota bacterium
Lineage: Bacteria; Pseudomonadati; Spirochaetota
Description: Spirochaetes bacterium tRNA-Met
Rfam family: tRNA
About the family: Transfer RNA (tRNA) molecules are approximately 80 nucleotides in length. Their secondary structure includes four short double-helical elements and three loops (D, anti-codon, and T loops).
Source: RNAcentral